GACGAACGCUGGCGGCGUGCUUAACACAUGCAAGUCGAACGGAAAGGCCCUGCUUUUGUGGGGUGCUCGAGUGGCGAACGGGUGAGUAACACGUGAGUAACCUGCCCUUGACUUUGGGAUAACUUCAGGAAACUGGGGCUAAUACCGGAUAGGAGCUCCUGCUGCAUGGUGGGGGUUGGAAAGUUUCGGCGGUUGGGGAUGGACUCGCGGCUUAUCAGCUUGUUGGUGGGGUAGUGGCUUACCAAGGCUUUGACGGGUAGCCGGCCUGAGAGGGUGACCGGCCACAUUGGGACUGAGAUACGGCCCAGGCUCCUACGGGGGGCAGCAGUGGGGAAUAUUGCACAAUGGGCGGAAGCCUGAUGCAGCAACGCCGCGUGCGGGAUGACGGCCUUCGGGUGGUAAACCGCUUUCGCCUGUGACGAAGCGUGAGUGACGGUAAUGGGUAAAGAAGCACCGGCUAACUACGUG
Molecule: ribosomal RNA, 468 nt
Filed under: uncultured bacterium
Lineage: Bacteria
Description: partial 16S ribosomal RNA
Rfam family: Bacterial small subunit ribosomal RNA
Source: RNAcentral